GCCAGGCGUGGUGGCUCACGCCUGUAAUCCCAGCACUUUGGGAGGCCGAGGCAGGUGGAUCAUCUGAGGUCAGGAGUUUGAGACCAGCCUGGCCAACAUGGUGAAACCCUGUCUCUA
Non-coding RNA from Homo sapiens (human), 117 nucleotides. It matches the Rfam family "Metazoan signal recognition particle RNA". From Rfam's summary of the family: The signal recognition particle (SRP) is a universally conserved ribonucleoprotein. It is involved in the co-translational targeting of proteins to membranes. Lineage: Eukaryota; Metazoa; Chordata; Mammalia; Primates; Hominidae. The record is from Rfam.